UGGGGAAUAUUGCACAAUGGAGGGAACUCUGAUGCAGCGACGCCGCGUGAACGAAGAAGGCUUUCGAGUCGCAAAGUUCUCUUAUAUGGGAAGAUAAUGACGGUACCAUAAGAAAAAGCCCCGGCUAACUACGUGCCAGCAGCCGCGGUAAUACGUAGGGGGCUAGCGUUGUCCGGAAUCACUGGGCGUAAAGGGUUCGCAGGCGGAAAUGCAAGUCAGGUGUAAAAGGCAGUAGCUUAACAACUGUAAGCAUUUGAAACUGCAUAUCUUGAGAAGAGUAGAGGUAAGUGGAAUUUUUAGUGUAGCGGUGAAAUGCGUAGAUAUUAAAAAGAAUACCGGUGGCGAAGGCAACUUACUGUGCUCAUUCUGACGCUGAGGAACGAAAGCGUGGGUAGCAAACAGG
This 403-nucleotide ribosomal RNA is filed under the name bacterium. Its description in RNAcentral is "partial 16S ribosomal RNA". It matches the Rfam family "Bacterial small subunit ribosomal RNA", at positions 355 to 776 of the family's 1533-position model. The record is from RNAcentral.